GCCUUGGACAAGAUUCGCUAUGAGAGCCU
Molecule: non-coding RNA, 29 nt
Filed under: Cricetulus griseus (Chinese hamster)
Lineage: Eukaryota; Metazoa; Chordata; Mammalia; Rodentia; Cricetidae
Source: RNAcentral